This 132-nucleotide small RNA is filed under the name Salmonella enterica. RNAcentral describes it as "RtT sRNA". It matches the Rfam family "RtT RNA". From Rfam's summary of the family: This family represents a bacterial cis-regulatory element known as RtT RNA. The exact function of RtT is unknown although it is thought that it may be involved in changing the cellular response in relation to amino acid starvation. Lineage: Bacteria; Pseudomonadati; Pseudomonadota; Gammaproteobacteria; Enterobacterales; Enterobacteriaceae. The record is from RNAcentral.
GUCUGCACUUGUCGGGGAAGGGUGAGAAGCUUCGACUAAGGUUCGAUUCGAGCGAAAGCGAGAAAGCGUUGCCGCAGGCAACGGCCCGAAGGGUGAGGAGCGAAGCGACGAAUAAUCCUUCCCCCACCACCA